AUUUAAAUAGUUUAUUUAAAAUUUUGAUUUGUGGAAUCAAAGAUGUAUGAUUUAUACUUUAGAUA
This 65-nucleotide transfer RNA is filed under the name Boros schneideri. RNAcentral describes it as "tRNA-His". The record is from RNAcentral. Lineage: Eukaryota; Metazoa; Arthropoda; Insecta; Coleoptera; Boridae.